CACGUAGGGCGCAAGCGUUGUCCGGAAUUAUUGGGCGUAAAGAGCUCGUAGGCGGUCUGUUGCGUCCGCUGUGAAAACUCGGGGCUUAACCCCGAGCCUGCAGUGGAUACGGGCAGACUGGAGUACUGCAGGGGAGACUGGAAUUCCUGGUGUAGCGGUGGAAUGCGCAGAUAUCAGGAGGAACACCGGUGGCGAAGGCGGGUCUCUGGGCAGUAACUGACGCUGAGGAGCGAAAGCGUGGGGAGCGAACAGG
Molecule: ribosomal RNA, 253 nt
Filed under: uncultured bacterium
Lineage: Bacteria
Description: partial 16S ribosomal RNA
Rfam family: Bacterial small subunit ribosomal RNA
Source: RNAcentral